Molecule: ribosomal RNA, 342 nt
Filed under: Sediminibacterium sp.
Lineage: Bacteria; Pseudomonadati; Bacteroidota; Chitinophagia; Chitinophagales; Chitinophagaceae
Description: bacterial SSU rRNA
Rfam family: Bacterial small subunit ribosomal RNA
Source: RNAcentral
ACAAUGGAGAGUUUGAUCCUGGCUCAGGAUGAACGCUAGCGGCAGGCUUAAUACAUGCAAGUCGAGGGGUAGCAUGAUUGUAGCAAUACAGUUGAUGACGACCGGCAAACGGGUGCGGAACACGUACACAACCUUCCUACAAGUGGGGAAUAGCCCAGAGAAAUUUGGAUUAAUACCCCGUAACAUAGCGAUGUGGCAUCACAUUGCUAUUAUAGCUUCGGCGCUUGUUGAUGGGUGUGCGGCUGAUUAGAUAGUUGGCGGGGUAACGGCCCACCAAGUCUACGAUCAGUAGCUGAUGUGAGGCAUGAUCAGCCACACGGGCACUGAGACACGGGCCCGACU